UCGGACGUGGUGUAAUGAAACACGGCCUCUCUUCCUAUACCCUCGAAAAAGCGAAUACUGAGGCAAUACUGGGUUCGACUCCCGGCGUCCGAA
This is a non-coding RNA of Mycena metata, 93 nucleotides long. The record is from the annotation of a GenBank genome assembly. NCBI's taxonomy places the organism in Eukaryota, Fungi, Basidiomycota, Agaricomycetes, Agaricales, Mycenaceae.